CCAGCCCAGCCGUCUUCUCAGUUGUCCCUCAUUCUCUCUCUCUGACUCUCGGCUUUGCUCAGCAACGCCGUUUUCACGUCGGUCUUCAACAUCACCUUAUCACCGACGGCGUAAAAUCUCGUCACUAACGCAAAAACUCAAGGUGAAUCGAUCGAUUUGUUGGAUAAGGAGCUUUUCUGUAUCGAGGAAUAAGAUUUUUUGAUCGAGUUUAUUCUCUUGUGAGGUGUUUCUCUUCCCUUACUUCUGCAGCGGCGGCAGUGGUGAUGGGGAUGGUUCGGCGGUGUUAUGAUUAUAAGCCUUCUUCCGCUUUUCUUUUUCCUGGUCAGGUGAAGUUUAUUCACUCUUUUCAUUUCGAAAUUUCAUUUUUGUUGGGUAUGAUUUGAUGAUGUUCUGAAAUAAGGAAUUUGAUGAACUAAUGUUGCUUGAAAGUUGUUUUUAAUCUCAUCAUGAAAAGCGAAAUAACUAAAAAAAAUUUUUGUUACAUUGGCUUCUAAUCUGUUGGUUUUUUUUUUUUUUAUCAAUGAAUGCAUCUUUUUGUUAAGUAUUCAAGAAUUGUAUUUACAAAUGAUACUGGGGGAGUGCCGCCAUGUACAAAAUGAAGGCAUAACUAUCAUGCCCUUAGGUUACGAUGUAUAACUAGUAACUAUUUCUAUGUACACAAAACGAAUGCAUGCUAUUUCUACAGCACUUGCUCAGACUUUACAAAAGCCUCAGACAAAGCAUCUCAUACCCUUGAAGUAGAAGCAA
Long non-coding RNA from Beta vulgaris subsp. vulgaris (sugar beet), 747 nucleotides. RefSeq lists it as uncharacterized. The record is from RefSeq and is a predicted model, not a curated record. The transcript is spliced from 2 exons. Lineage: Eukaryota; Viridiplantae; Streptophyta; Magnoliopsida; Caryophyllales; Amaranthaceae.